Molecule: ribosomal RNA, 664 nt
Filed under: Aphelenchoides salixae
Lineage: Eukaryota; Metazoa; Nematoda; Chromadorea; Rhabditida; Aphelenchoididae
Description: partial large subunit ribosomal RNA
Rfam family: Eukaryotic large subunit ribosomal RNA
Source: RNAcentral
UUCAGUCGGCCGUCGUUGCGAUCUUCUCUCGAGUAUUCCGCAAGGUUGCUCGUGGGAUGUAGUCGUUGCGGUGGUCGGUGCAUUUGCGUGCGGAGUGCGCCGAGUGGGUUGAUGUCGUCGUCGGAGGCGCGUGUAGAGGACUCGCUUGCGAGAACCCUGUGCGUGCGGAUGUCGAGUGAUGUUGGCUCGUGUGUGAGUGCGGGUGAAUUCGCGGCGGAUUGUUUCGGUGCGAAUGACUUGUCGGCGUCACAUGUGUCGUCGGCUCGUCGGUCGUAUGGCGACGGUCCGCUGCCCCGGCACUCGACUCGGUGUAUAGUCGGUCACCCAUUUGACCCGUCUUGAAACACGGACCAAGGAGUUUAAGGUGUACGCAAGUCAUUGAGUGUGCAGAAGCUCAAAGGCGGAAUGAAAGUGAGACACUUGGUGUCGACGAUGUGAGCGGCGGGCGUCUCGACGUCCACCGCGCAACAUCGCCCCAUGACUAGAACUUGUUCUGUUGUGGAGGUUGAGCGUACGCUUUGAGACCCGAAAGAUGGUGAACUAUGCCUGAACAGGAUGAAGCCAGAGGAAACUCUGGUGGAAGUCCGAAGCGGUUCUGACGUGCAAAUCGAUCGUCUGAUUUGGGUAUAGGGGCGCAAGACUAAUCGAACCAUCUAGUAGCUGG